Molecule: transfer RNA, 91 nt
Filed under: Paractinoplanes ferrugineus
Lineage: Bacteria; Bacillati; Actinomycetota; Actinomycetes; Micromonosporales; Micromonosporaceae
Description: Actinoplanes ferrugineus tRNA-Arg
Source: RNAcentral
CGACCUGGUCGCCGAGGCCCGGGCGACGCCGAUCCGGACCGCGCUGGUGAUCGCCCGCGGGCACGGCGGGUUCAACGCCUGCCUGAUCGUC